Molecule: ribosomal RNA, 207 nt
Filed under: uncultured bacterium
Lineage: Bacteria
Description: partial 16S ribosomal RNA
Rfam family: Bacterial small subunit ribosomal RNA
Source: RNAcentral
CGUGUAGGCGGCCACGCAGGUCCGUUGUGAAAACUGGGGGCUCAACUUCCAGACGUCGACGGAAACCGUGUGGCUAGAGUCCGGAAGAGGAGAGUGGAAUUCCUGGUGUAGCGGUGAAAUGCGCAGAUAUCAGGAAGAACACCAAUGGCGAAGGCAGCUCUCUGGGACGGUACUGACGCUGAGACGCGAAAGCGUGGGGAGCGAACA